RNAcentral lists this small RNA (114 nucleotides) under Chelonoidis abingdonii (Abingdon island giant tortoise). RNAcentral describes it as "TUC338 (ENSCABG00000002175.1)". Lineage: Eukaryota; Metazoa; Chordata; Testudines; Testudinidae. The record is from RNAcentral.
UCCCCUUAUAUGCAGAACAGGUGUAACACUGACAGUGGCAGUGUUACGUUCCCUAUAUUGGACAAGCAGUAUGCUCAACCCUGACCUGGAGGGACCACUUCUCAGUGUGAGGGA